AUUGAGCGCUGGCGGCAUGCCUUACACAUGCAAGUCGAACGGCAGCACGGGAGCAAUCCUGGUGGCGAGUGGCGAACGGGUGAGUAAUGUAUCGGAACGUGCCCAGUCGUGGGGGAUAACGUAGCGAAAGCUGUGCUAAUACCGCAUAAUCCCUAAGGGGGAAAGCGGGGGACCGUAAGGCCUCGCGCAAUUAGAGCGGCCGAUACCUGAUUAGCUAGUUGGUGAGGUAAAGGCUCACCAAGGCAACGAUCAGUAGCUGGUCUGAGAGGACGAUCAGCCACACUGGGACUGAGACACGGCCCAGACUCCUACGGGAGGCAGCAGUGGGGAAUUUUGGACAAUGGGGGCAACCCUGAUCCAGCAAUGCCGCGUGAGUGAAGAAGGCCUUCGGGUUGUAAAGCUCUUUUGUCAGGGAAGAAACAGCAGCUCUAACACAGUUUGCGAAUGACGGUACCUGAAGAAUAAGCACCGGCUAACUACGUGCCAGCAGCCGCCGCAG
Molecule: ribosomal RNA, 499 nt
Filed under: uncultured bacterium
Lineage: Bacteria
Description: partial 16S ribosomal RNA
Rfam family: Bacterial small subunit ribosomal RNA
Source: RNAcentral